AUGCCGAAAGAUACACCAAAACAGAAUAGAUCACAAACAACCAUGAAUUACAUAAAAAUACUCUUCUUACACAUACGACACAAAUUAAAAAUAUUAAUAGACCAAAGUACCACCAUCCUUGGAGCUAAAUCACUGCACCAACUCCACUUGCAAAACCAGAUAACACCAAUGCCUCACAAAGUGACACUCUAG
This is a non-coding RNA of Vicia faba (fava bean), 192 nucleotides long. The record is from the annotation of a GenBank genome assembly. NCBI's taxonomy places the organism in Eukaryota, Viridiplantae, Streptophyta, Magnoliopsida, Fabales, Fabaceae.